CCUGAGGACAGGCAGAGCUGCAGACUUCCUGCCCCUGCUCUGCACUCUCAGGUGUUCCUUGUGUCACUCCCUGUUCUUGCCUCAUAAAGAUGGAUCCAGUUCCACAGGGCCACUGCCAUGGCGGCCAUCCUCCAGGCCCUGGUGGGCCCCACCCUGGCCAUGGCCCAGGACACCCUCCUGGGGCAUGCCCCAACCCAGGACCUGGUGGACACCCCCACGGUCAUGACCCACAUCACCCUCCUAAGGGAGGCCAUCCCCCAGGACCUGGUGGGCAUCCCCUGGCCCAGGACAUCCCCCUGGUCCACAUCACUGAGGAAACAGACGAAAAUAGGACACAAGAUGAGGAGCCUUCAUGGAUUGCCCUGCUGACCUGGAACCAGGCUGGAACCAGAAUCUUCUCUUCCUAAUAAACAGCCUCUAAAGGCUAUGUUCUAGUCUUAAAGAGCCUGUC
RNAcentral lists this long non-coding RNA (451 nucleotides) under Castor canadensis (American beaver). Its description in RNAcentral is "lncRNA (ENSCCNG00000029927.1)". The record is from RNAcentral. Lineage: Eukaryota; Metazoa; Chordata; Mammalia; Rodentia; Castoridae.